AAAACCCGCACCCUGGACUGUGAGC
Molecule: non-coding RNA, 25 nt
Filed under: Cricetulus griseus (Chinese hamster)
Lineage: Eukaryota; Metazoa; Chordata; Mammalia; Rodentia; Cricetidae
Source: RNAcentral